Lathyrus oleraceus (garden pea) is the source of this 1089-nucleotide long non-coding RNA. RefSeq lists it as uncharacterized. The transcript has 2 exons. The record is from RefSeq and is a predicted model, not a curated record. Lineage: Eukaryota; Viridiplantae; Streptophyta; Magnoliopsida; Fabales; Fabaceae.
CCCAAGGCCCAGAACCACCGAAGCCUAGUACCGGGGGGAGUCCACCGAGGACUCAGUCAACCUCUGUUGACUUAAGGCUUGGCUAGGACCGUCAGAUCUGUAGAUUUGGCUUGGUCCAAUGAUUAAGAGGUGGAAAUAUGUGUUGGAACACGAUGGCACCAAUGGGAUGCACCGAGUGGGAUCAUGGGAGGAGUUAACAGAGACUAUGACAAGUGUCACCACUGCUUCGGGCCACACAAUUCAUUAAUGCAGGCACAGGAAACAACCAUUAAAGGGCAUCAUUAACAUGAAAUGAAACAUAACCCAAGCCAUUUUCUCUCUCUUCGAAUAAAAGCAUGGGAAAUGCUCUACAACUUCUUCUCUCUUUGUUGAUUCAACCUUGCCGAAGAAACGACGCUGCUCGAUUGCCGCCACCGCCUCCUCUGGCGACCAACUAAACACAAACUCCAACUACUUCGGCCAAGGAUUUCGAAUCCGGCCUUAAACAACUUGAAAACUCAACCAAACAACCUAUAUCAAAGAUUGAAUCCAAAAAAAACCUAAAUCUCAUAAAACCAAAAUUGAAUAAUUAAACCCAUGCGAAUUAAGAAAUUACAUAAGGGAUACAAAUCAGUGGAGGAAGUUCUACACAAUGGUUACCAUAAUAUGUUGAGAAGGGUCCAAAAAUUACCUAAUCGAAGCUAGUCCGAUGUAACUCUGGCGAUGGAAUGAUGUAACAACUUCAACAGGAGGGGUGGUAAGCACGUACGAAGGUCCAUGAAGAAUGAACGAAAUCCUAGCCUUUCAAGUAUGUGCCAUGUCAUCAUGCGCCAACCAUGUUUUUCUCUUUGAGAUAGCAUGUACACCAGGUGUAUGCAAUGCUCCCUCUUAAAUCCUAUUACUGGAGAUUUCAGUUAGAUUUUCUUGGGUUUAUGUAUGUAACAUGAUGAUAUGCUUGGCUUAGAGUUACGUGUUCAAUGUAUUUGGCAAAACACAAUGUAAUGAAUGAUUCAUAGAAUACGAUGCAUAAGGUCUUCAAAAAUGGUUUGGUUUAAAUUUUGUAAUUGGAAUUUGUAAAUGAAUGGAGUUUCUUAUGUGAUUUCAAUAGUA